This 529-nucleotide ribosomal RNA is filed under the name uncultured Neisseria sp. RNAcentral's name for it is "bacterial SSU rRNA". It matches the Rfam family "Bacterial small subunit ribosomal RNA", at positions 8 to 526 of the family's 1533-position model. The record is from RNAcentral. Lineage: Bacteria; Pseudomonadati; Pseudomonadota; Betaproteobacteria; Neisseriales; Neisseriaceae.
AGAGUUUGAUCCUGGCUCAGAUUGAACGCUGGCGGCAUGCUUUACACAUGCAAGUCGGACGGCAGCACAGAGAAGCUUGCUUCUUGGGUGGCGAGUGGCGAACGGGUGAGUAACAUAUCGGAACGUACCGAGCAGUGGGGGAUAACUAAUCGAAAGAUUAGCUAAUACCGCAUAUCUUCUGAGGAAGAAAGCAGGGGACCAUUUGGCCUUGCGCUGUUUGAGCGGCCGAUAUCUGAUUAGCUAGUUGGUGGGGUAAAGGCCUACCAAGGCGACGAUCAGUAGCGGGUCUGAGAGGAUGAUCCGCCACACUGGGACUGAGACACGGCCCAGACUCCUACGGGAGGCAGCAGUGGGGAAUUUUGGACAAUGGGCGCGAGCCUGAUCCAGCCAUGCCGCGUGUCUGAAGAAGGCCUUCGGGUUGUAAAGGACUUUUGUCAGGGAAGAAAAGGGCGGGGUUAAUACCCCUGUCUGAUGACGGUACCUGAAGAAUAACCACCGGCUAACUACGUGCCAGCACCCGCGGUAAUAC